GGAGUCUGGGCCGUAUCUCAGUCCCAAUGUGGCCGGUCGGUCUCUCAACCCGGCUACCCGUCGUCGGCACGGCCGGCCUCUACCCGGCCGUCUACCUGAUGGGCCGCGACCCCAUCCCGCGCCGCCUGAGCUUUCCCGCCGCCCCAUGCGGGGGCCGCGGAGCAUCCGGUAUUAAUCCCCCUUUCGGGGGGCUAUCCCGGGGCCCGGGGCAGGUUGGUCACGUGUUACUCACCCGUUCGCCACUCUAUCCGCGCCCGAAGGCGCCUUAACCGUUCGACUUGCAUGUGUUAGGCACGCCGCCAGCGUUCAUC
RNAcentral lists this ribosomal RNA (311 nucleotides) under uncultured Coriobacteriaceae bacterium. RNAcentral describes it as "partial 16S ribosomal RNA". The record is from RNAcentral. Lineage: Bacteria; Bacillati; Actinomycetota; Coriobacteriia; Coriobacteriales; Coriobacteriaceae.